RNAcentral lists this ribosomal RNA (498 nucleotides) under uncultured bacterium. Its description in RNAcentral is "bacterial SSU rRNA". It matches the Rfam family "Bacterial small subunit ribosomal RNA", at positions 829 to 1330 of the family's 1533-position model. The record is from RNAcentral.
GCGAUAUACAGUAAGCGGCCAAGCGAAAGCAUUAAGUAUUCCACCUGGGGAGUACGCCGGCAACGGUGAAACUCAAAGGAAUUGACGGGGGCCCGCACAAGCGGAGGAACAUGUGGUUUAAUUCGAUGAUACGCGAGGAACCUUACCCGGGCUUGAAUUGCAGAGGAAUAUAGUUGAAAGAUUAUAGCCGCAAGGCCUCUGUGAAGGUGCUGCAUGGUUGUCGUCAGCUCGUGCCGUGAGGUGUCGGCUUAAGUGCCAUAACGAGCGCAACCCUUAUCAUUAGUUACUAACAGGUCAUGCUGAGGACUCUAGUGAGACUGCCGUCGUAAGAUGUGAGGAAGGUGGGGAUGACGUCAAAUCAGCACGGCCCUUACGUCCGGGGCUACACACGUGUUACAAUGGGGGGUACAGAGGGCAGCUACCGGGCGACCGGAUGCCAAUCCCAAAAACCUCUCUCAGUUCGGAUCGAAGUCUGCAACCCGGGUUCGUGAAGCUGGA